ACUUAAAUAGCUUAUUAAGAGCAUAAUAUUGAAGAUAUUAAGGUAUAAAUUUAUUUUAAGUA
This 62-nucleotide transfer RNA is filed under the name Phygasia gracilicornis. RNAcentral describes it as "tRNA-Phe". Lineage: Eukaryota; Metazoa; Arthropoda; Insecta; Coleoptera; Chrysomelidae. The record is from RNAcentral.